GAUGAACGCUAGCUACAGGCUUAACACAUGCAAGUCGAGGGGAAACGACAUCGAAAGCUUGCUUUUGAUGGGCGUCGACCGGCGCACGGGUGAGUAACGCGUAUCCAACCUGCCCACCACUUGGGGAUAACCUUGCGAAAGUAAGACUAAUACCCAAUGAUAUCUCUAGAAGACAUCCGAAAGAGAUUAAAGAUUUAUCGGUGAUGGAUGGGGAUGCGUCUGAUUAGCUUGUUGGCGGGGUAACGGCCCACCAAGGCUACGAUCAGUAGGGGUUCUGAGAGGAAGGUCCCCCACAUUGGAACUGAGACACGGUCCAAACGCCUACGGGAGGCAGCAGUGAGGAAUAUUGGUCAAUGGACGAGAGUCUGAACCAGCCAAGUAGCGUGCAGGAAGACGGCCCUAUGGGUUGUAAACUGCUUUUAUAAGGGAAUAAAGUGAGUCUCGUGAGACUUUUUGCAUGUACCUUAUGAAUAAGGACCGGCUAAUUCCGUGCCAGCCGCCGCAGUAA
This 508-nucleotide ribosomal RNA is filed under the name uncultured bacterium. RNAcentral's name for it is "partial 16S ribosomal RNA". It matches the Rfam family "Bacterial small subunit ribosomal RNA", at positions 28 to 523 of the family's 1533-position model. The record is from RNAcentral.